Molecule: long non-coding RNA, 205 nt
Filed under: Setaria italica (foxtail millet)
Lineage: Eukaryota; Viridiplantae; Streptophyta; Magnoliopsida; Poales; Poaceae
Description: long non-coding RNA (SITA_LNC006491)
Source: RNAcentral
UGAGGCAUCAAUAAAAAUUGGUAAAAAUAAGGUGGACCUACAUAGACGGGGCUAGGGCACUUGCCCCCCCUAUUUUGUAGUGCAAAAAAUAGUUAAUAAAUUUGUAUCAUUUUCAAGCUUUGUAAUUAGCAAUUUAAGGUGUGCUCUACUCAAGAUUCACCUAGGUCCACUGCUUGGAAAGGUGCUGCCAAAGGAGUUGUAUGGG